This 115-nucleotide non-coding RNA is filed under the name Lynx canadensis (Canada lynx). Lineage: Eukaryota; Metazoa; Chordata; Mammalia; Carnivora; Felidae. The record is from Rfam by way of RNAcentral. RNAcentral also lists the same sequence under 1 other name.
UGGAAAUGAUGAAAUAGAGACUGGGUGUCGAAUAUUGUAUGAUUGGAAAUUUUUAAUAUGUAAAUUAAGAGAUUAAUCUAAGUUUUAAAAAGAGCAUCAUAAAAUUACACUCCAA